GGUAUCAGCAGCCUGCUCCAUGCGUAACGGCCUCUGAUUCUCCUCGUGCGUACGCUCGAGCGGAUCUGCUAGGCUGUCUUAGUAUGGCUCUGGAUACUGGGCUGGGCCGAAAGUCGGGCCGGACGCUGAGCCUGAGAGGAGAGGGCCUGCUGGUCGCGGACUGGGCCGAUCUGAGUGAAGAAGCUUGGUUGAGCCCGGCCUUGAAGGUUGAAUGAGCCAGGCUUGUUGUGCAUAUCAGGUGCGUGGGCCUCUACGUUAUGGGCCUUUGGCUGUGGUCAAGCCCCUGAUCCGGGGUGAAGAAAUCCAGCGGUCAUCAAUUGCCCCUUCACCUUCUCGGUAGUUAUUGCUCCCACUGCCGAGGGGGUGAAUAUCAAGAACCAUUAUGACCGCGCCUGUUCGUGUUCAGGUGCCUUAAUAAUAUCCUUUCAUCUUUCUGUCGUUGUGUAGUUUCCGAAUCCUAUCUGCUCUUUCCCCCUUCUGGCUUUUCUCCAUUCUUCGUGUUCUUUGCUGUCUUUGCUUUCCUGUCAUCAUUAUCUGGACAUGUCCUUUCUUUCCUUUUCCAUGACUAUCUUUUAAAAUUCUGACACCGUUAGCUUAGAGUCUAGCAUAGCUCUGCCCCGUGCUAAGGCCUCAGGCUCCGGGUAUAUAUCAACGCUAACUUUUCUUCAUUCUCAAAUCCUCUGCUGGAACAAGAGGUUCUUCCUUUCCGUUUCUCUGUCUGCUUCUUUCCUCCAGCGAGAUUGUUCUGAUUGUUCUGUUUUAUCUGCAAAGGAUCCAUUUGACGCCUUCUUCAAACGGAAUGAGGUGAGCUUGAGUUUGUAUUG
This 824-nucleotide long non-coding RNA is filed under the name Manihot esculenta (cassava). RNAcentral's name for it is "long non-coding RNA (MESC_LNC008471)". Lineage: Eukaryota; Viridiplantae; Streptophyta; Magnoliopsida; Malpighiales; Euphorbiaceae. The record is from RNAcentral.